RNAcentral lists this long non-coding RNA (841 nucleotides) under Homo sapiens (human). Its description in RNAcentral is "HSALNT0056248". The record is from RNAcentral. Lineage: Eukaryota; Metazoa; Chordata; Mammalia; Primates; Hominidae.
CAGGGGGACGUAAGUGAAUCAUGAGGGCCAGUCUUUCCUAUGCUAUUCUCAUGAUAGUGAAUAAGUCUCACGAGAUCUGAUGGGUUUAUCAGGAGUUUCCACUUUUGCUUCUUCCUCAUUCUCUCUUGGUGCCACCAUGUAAGAAGUGCCUUUCACUUCCUGCCAUGAUUCUGAAGUCCCCCCAGCCAUGUGGAACUGAUACCCCAUGGUUCUCCUACCACCAGAUGCUACUGAGGCUAAACUGACUGGACUGAGGAAAAAUAUCUGUGGGGAAAACUUUCUUUCAGAAUCCAACUUUGAACCAGAGAAAUCCAUUCUCUUGAAGCUGUCUGCUGUGGAGAAGUUGGCCUUACCAAUCUGCCUUUGAAGUUCAAGUUAUACAGGAUCUGCGAGGCUACCUGUGAAUGAAUGGUUGGUUGGUCACUACUUGCAAGUUUUUCAGGAGCUCCUGAAAGAUUACUGCAUAAAUAAGGGAAGAUGGAGACCAGACCUCUGGCUACUGUUGCUGCCACCACUACAGAUACCACCUUCACCCUUAUGAACCCCCUAUUUACUGAACAUUCUCUAUAUGCCAGAUGCAAAAUUGGCUACCACAUUGGAAACUGAUAUUGAAUUUCUCAACGAGUCCAACAGAGUCAGUUUUCCUCCAACACUGAAACAGACCUUGCUUUCUUCAGUUGAGCAACAACUAAAGAUUAUGGACCCAGCUCGUGUGGAGGUGCCAUAUUGCAUAAACAGUGCAUACAGUGAGCCCUCGCAUUCACACUCAGCAUGAUGUGAUUACGACAUUACAAAGAACAGAAAAGUAUCCCCGUGACCCUUGUCCACCACCACAUACCAC